CUACGGGUUGCACCAGUGGGGAAUCUUAGACAAUGGGGGAAACCCUGAUCUAGCCAUGCCGCGUGAGCGACGACGGCCCUAGGGUUGUAAAGCUCUUUCAGCAGGGAAGAUAAUGACGGUACCUGCAGAAGAAGUCCCGGCUAACUCCGUGCCAGCAGCCGCGGUAAACGGAGGGGACUAGCGUUGUUCGGACUUACUGGGCGUAAAGCGCGCGUAGGCGGAUUGUUAAGUCGGGGGUGAAAUCCCGGGGCUCAACCCCGGAACUGCCCUCGAUACUGGCAGUCUUGAGUUCGAGAGAGGUGAGUGGAAUUCCGAGUGUAGAGGUGAAAUUCGUAGAUAUUCGGAGGAACACCAGUGGCGAAGGCGGCUCACUGGCUCGAUACUGACGCUGAGGUGCGAAAGCGUGGGGAGCAAACAGGAUUAGAUACCCCUGUAGUC
RNAcentral lists this ribosomal RNA (438 nucleotides) under uncultured bacterium. RNAcentral's name for it is "partial 16S ribosomal RNA". It matches the Rfam family "Bacterial small subunit ribosomal RNA", at positions 339 to 795 of the family's 1533-position model. The record is from RNAcentral.